RNAcentral lists this ribosomal RNA (2448 nucleotides) under Salmonella enterica subsp. enterica serovar Enteritidis. RNAcentral's name for it is "bacterial LSU rRNA". It matches the Rfam family "Bacterial large subunit ribosomal RNA", at positions 509 to 2925 of the family's 2925-position model. The record is from RNAcentral. Lineage: Bacteria; Pseudomonadati; Pseudomonadota; Gammaproteobacteria; Enterobacterales; Enterobacteriaceae.
GAAAGGCGAAAAGAACCCCGGCGAGGGGAGUGAAAAAGAACCUGAAACCGUGUACGUACAAGCAGUGGGAGCACCCUUUGGGUGUGACUGCGUACCUUUUGUAUAAUGGGUCAGCGACUUAUAUUCUGUAGCAAGGUUAACCGAAUAGGGGAGCCGGAGGGAAACCGAGUCUUAAUUGGGCGUUAAGUUGCAGGGUAUAGACCCGAAACCCGGUGAUCUAGCCAUGGGCAGGUUGAAGGUUGGGUAACACUAACUGGAGGACCGAACCGACUAAUGUUGAAAAAUUAGCGGAUGACCUGUGGCUGGGGGUGAAAGGCCAAUCAAACCGGGAGAUAGCUGGUUCUCCCCGAAAGCUAUUUAGGUAGCGCCUCGUGAAUUCAUCUCCGGGGGUAGAGCACUGUUUCGGCUAGGGGGCCAUCCCGGCUUACCAACCCGAUGCAAACUGCGAAUACCGGAGAAUGUUAUCACGGGAGACACACGGCGGGUGCUAACGUCCGUCGUGAAGAGGGAAACAACCCAGACCGCCAGCUAAGGUCCCAAAGUCAUGGUUAAGUGGGAAACGAUGUGGGAAGGCCCAGACAGCCAGGAUGUUGGCUUAGAAGCAGCCAUCAUUUAAAGAAAGCGUAAUAGCUCACUGGUCGAGUCGGCCUGCGCGGAAGAUGUAACGGGGCUAAACCAUGCACCGAAGCUGCGGCAGCGACACUGUGUGUUGUUGGGUAGGGGAGCGUUCUGUAAGCCUGUGAAGGUGUGUCGUGAGGCAUGCUGGAGGUAUCAGAAGUGCGAAUGCUGACAUAAGUAACGAUAAAGCGGGUGAAAAGCCCGCUCGCCGGAAGACCAAGGGUUCCUGUCCAACGUUAAUCGGGGCAGGGUGAGUCGACCCCUAAGGCGAGGCCGAAAGGCGUAGUCGAUGGGAAACGGGUUAAUAUUCCCGUACUUGGUGUUACUGCGAAGGGGGGACGGAGAAGGCUAUGUUGGCCGGGCGACGGUUGUCCCGGUUUAAGCGUGUAGGUGUGUGUUCCAGGUAAAUCCGGUUCACUUUAACACUGAGGCGUGACGACGAGGCACUACGGUGCUGAAGCAACAAAUGCCCUGCUUCCAGGAAAAGCCUCUAAGCAUCAGGUAACAUCAAAUCGUACCCCAAACCGACACAGGUGGUCAGGUAGAGAAUACCAAGGCGCUUGAGAGAACUCGGGUGAAGGAACUAGGCAAAAUGGUGCCGUAACUUCGGGAGAAGGCACGCUGACACGUAGGUGAAGUGAUUUACUCAUGGAGCUGAAGUCAGUCGAAGAUACCAGCUGGCUGCAACUGUUUAUUAAAAACACAGCACUGUGCAAACACGAAAGUGGACGUAUACGGUGUGACGCCUGCCCGGUGCCGGAAGGUUAAUUGAUGGGGUCAGCGCAAGCGAAGCUCCUGAUCGAAGCCCCGGUAAACGGCGGCCGUAACUAUAACGGUCCUAAGGUAGCGAAAUUCCUUGUCGGGUAAGUUCCGACCUGCACGAAUGGCGUAAUGAUGGCCAGGCUGUCUCCACCCGAGACUCAGUGAAAUUGAACUCGCUGUGAAGAUGCAGUGUACCCGCGGCAAGACGGAAAGACCCCGUGAACCUUUACUAUAGCUUGACACUGAACAUUGAGCCUUGAUGUGUAGGAUAGGUGGGAGGCUUUGAAGUGUGGACGCCAGUCUGCAUGGAGCCGACCUUGAAAUACCACCCUUUAAUGUUUGAUGUUCUAACGUGGACCCGUUACCCGGGUUGCGGACAGUGUCUGGUGGGUAGUUUGACUGGGGCGGUCUCCUCCUAAAGAGUAACGGAGGAGCACGAAGGUUGGCUAAUCCUGGUCGGACAUCAGGAGGUUAGUGCAAUGGCAUAAGCCAGCUUGACUGCGAGCGUGACGGCGCGAGCAGGUGCGAAAGCAGGUCAUAGUGAUCCGGUGGUUCUGAAUGGAAGGGCCAUCGCUCAACGGAUAAAAGGUACUCCGGGGAUAACAGGCUGAUACCGCCCAAGAGUUCAUAUCGACGGCGGUGUUUGGCACCUCGAUGUCGGCUCAUCACAUCCUGGGGCUGAAGUAGGUCCCAAGGGUAUGGCUGUUCGCCAUUUAAAGUGGUACGCGAGCUGGGUUUAGAACGUCGUGAGACAGUUCGGUCCCUAUCUGCCGUGGGCGCUGGAGAACUGAGGGGGGCUGCUCCUAGUACGAGAGGACCGGAGUGGACGCAUCACUGGUGUUCGGGUUGUCAUGCCAAUGGCACUGCCCGGUAGCUAAAUGCGGAAGAGAUAAGUGCUGAAAGCAUCUAAGCACGAAACUUGCCCCGAGAUGAGUUCUCCCUGAGACUUAAAGUCUCCUGAAGGAACGUUGAAGACGACGACGUUGAUAGGCCGGGUGUGUAAGCGCAGCGAUGCGUUGAGCUAACCGGUACUAAUGAACCGUGAGGCUUAACCUUACAACGCCGAAG